Molecule: ribosomal RNA, 414 nt
Filed under: Microbacterium sp. EB21
Lineage: Bacteria; Bacillati; Actinomycetota; Actinomycetes; Micrococcales; Microbacteriaceae
Description: bacterial SSU rRNA
Rfam family: Bacterial small subunit ribosomal RNA
Source: RNAcentral
GCUCUGUGGGAUCAGUGGCGAACGGGUGAGUAACACGUGAGCAACCUGCCCCUGACUCUGGGAUAAGCGCUGGAAACGGCGUCUAAUACUGGAUACGAGUAGCGGCCGCAUGGUCAGUUACUGGAAAGAUUUUUUGGUUGGGGAUGGGCUCGCGGCCUAUCAGCUUGUUGGUGAGGUAAUGGCUCACCAAGGCGUCGACGGGUAGCCGGCCUGAGAGGGUGACCGGCCACACUGGGACUGAGACACGGCCCACACUCCUACGGGAGGCAGCAGUGGGGAAUAUUGCACAAUGGGCGGAAGCCUGAUGCAGCAACGCCGCGUGAGGGAUGACGGCCUUCGGGUUGUAAACCUCUUUUAGCAGGGAAGAAGCGAAAGUGACGGUACCUGCAGAAAAAGCGCCGGCUAACUACGUGC